AGCGAACGCUGGCGGCAGGCUUAACACAUGCAAGUCGAACGGUCCUUCGGGAUAGUGGCGGACGGGUGAGUAACACGUGGGAACGUACCCUUAGGUUCGGAACAACACAGGGAAACUUGUGCUAAUACCGGAUAAGCCCUUCGGGGGAAAGCUUUAUCGCCUUUGGAGCGGCCCGCGUCUGAUUAGCUUGUUGGUGAGGUAAUGGCUCACCAAGGCUACGAUCAGUAGCUGGUCUGAGAGGAUGGCCAGCCACACUGGGACUGAGACACGGCCCAGACUCCUACGGGAGGCAGCAGUGGGGAAUCUUGCGCAAUGGGCGAAAGCCUGACGCAGCCAUGCGGCGUGGAUGAUGAAGGUCUUAGGAUUGUAAAAUCCUUUCACCGGGGACGAUAAUGACGGUACCCGGAGAAGGAGCCCCGGCUAACUUCGUGCCAGCAGCCGCCGCGG
Molecule: ribosomal RNA, 447 nt
Filed under: uncultured bacterium
Lineage: Bacteria
Description: partial 16S ribosomal RNA
Rfam family: Bacterial small subunit ribosomal RNA
Source: RNAcentral